AUUGAACGCUGGCGGCAGGCCUAACACAUGCAAGUCGAACGGUAGCACAGAGAGCUUGCUCUCGGGUGACGAGUGGCGGACGGGUGAGUAACGUCUGGGAAACUGCCCGAUGGAGGGGGAUAACUACUGGAAACGGUAGCUAAUACCGCAUAACGUCGCAAGACCAAAGUGGGGGACCUUCGGGCCUCACACCAUCGGAUGUGCCCAGAAGGGAUUAGCUAGUAGGUGGGGUAAUGGCUCACCUAGGCGACGAUCCCUAGCUGGUCUGAGAGGAUGACCAGCCACACUGGAACUGAGACACGGUCCAGACUCCUACGGGAGGCAGCAGUGGGGAAUAUUGCACAAUGGGCGCAAGCCUGAUGCAGCCAUGCCGCGUGUAUGAAGAAGGCCUUCGGGUUGUAAAGUACUUUCAGCGGGGAGGAAGGCGGUGGAGUUAAUAACUUCAUCGAUUGACGUUACCCGCAGAAGAAGCACCGGCUAACUCCGUGCCAGCAGCCGCAGUAA
Molecule: ribosomal RNA, 504 nt
Filed under: uncultured bacterium
Lineage: Bacteria
Description: partial 16S ribosomal RNA
Rfam family: Bacterial small subunit ribosomal RNA
Source: RNAcentral